Molecule: ribosomal RNA, 500 nt
Filed under: uncultured bacterium
Lineage: Bacteria
Description: partial 16S ribosomal RNA
Rfam family: Bacterial small subunit ribosomal RNA
Source: RNAcentral
AUUGAACGCUGGCGGAAUGCUUUACACAUGCAAGUCGAACGGCAGCACGGACUUCGGUCUGGUGGCGAGUGGCGAACGGGUGAGUAAUGUAUCGGAACGUGCCCAGUCGUGGGGGAUAACGUAGUGAAAAUUACGCUAAUACCGCAUACGAUCUAUGGAUGAAAGCGGGGGAUCGCAAGACCUCGCGCGAUUGGGGCGGCCGAUAUCAGAUUAGGUAGUUGGUGGGGUAAAGGCACACCAAGCCAACGAUCUGUAGCUGGUCUGAGAGGACGACCAGCCACACUGGAACUGAGACACGGUCCAGACUCCUACGGGAGGCAGCAGUGGGGAAUUUUGGACAAUGGGCGAAAGCCUGAUCCAGCCAUUCCGCGUGCAGGAUGAAGGCCCUCGGGUUGUAAACUGCUUUUGUACAGAACGAAAAGGUUUCUACUAAUACUAGGAGCUCAUGACGGUACUGUAAGAAUAAGCACCGGCUAACUACGUGCCAGCCGCCGCAGUAA